This 338-nucleotide ribosomal RNA is filed under the name uncultured bacterium. Its description in RNAcentral is "bacterial SSU rRNA". It matches the Rfam family "Bacterial small subunit ribosomal RNA", at positions 28 to 358 of the family's 1533-position model. The record is from RNAcentral.
GAUGAACGCUAGCGGCAGGCUUAACACAUGCAAGUCGAGGGGCAGCACGUCUUCGGAUGGUGGCGACCGGCGCACGGGUGCGUAACGCGUAUAGAACCUACCUUUUACAGGGGAAUAGCCCCAGAGAAAAUUUUGGAUUAAUGCCCCCAUAGUAUUAUUAGAUGGCAUCAUUUGAUAAUUAAACAUUUAUGGGUAAAAGAUGGCUAUGCGUUCUAUUAGCUAGAUGGUAAGGUAACGGCUUACCAUGGCGACGAUAGAUAGGGGGUCCUGAGAGGGAGAUCCCCCCACACUGGGUACUGAGACACGGACCCAGACUCCCUACGGGAGGCAGCAGUGAG